This 209-nucleotide long non-coding RNA is filed under the name Nicotiana benthamiana. Its description in RNAcentral is "long non-coding RNA (NBEN_LNC030356)". Lineage: Eukaryota; Viridiplantae; Streptophyta; Magnoliopsida; Solanales; Solanaceae. The record is from RNAcentral.
CUGGUGCCCUGUACAGGUCUUAUAUGUGAUUCAAGACGUUUCUGUGAAAUUUGGUUGGAAUCAGACAUCAUUUGACGUGUUUCGGACCUAAAUAUCUAAAAAUGACAGCUUAUGAAGUUUGAUGAAAAAGUAAUGAUUUUGAGGCUUGAUUCCUCGUUUUUAUGUUAAUUUGGCGAUUUGAUCGCACGGUUAAGUUCGUAGGAGGUGGU